Molecule: ribosomal RNA, 267 nt
Filed under: uncultured archaeon
Lineage: Archaea
Description: partial 16S ribosomal RNA
Rfam family: Archaeal small subunit ribosomal RNA
Source: RNAcentral
UAGGCGUAAAUGAUGCGAGUUAAGUGUGGGGGCGAUCUACGAGAUGGCCCUCGUGCUGUAGGGUAGCCGUUAAACUCGCUGCCUGGGGAGGUACGGUCGCAAGGCUGAAACUUAAAGGAAUUGGCGGGGGGAGGCACCACAAGAGGUGGAGGCUGCGGUUCAAUUGGACUCAACGCCGGAAACUACAUCGGGAGCGACAGCAGUAUGAUUGCCAGGUUGAUGACCUUGCCUGAUUUUCCGUAGAGGAGGUGCAUGGCGUAGUCGUGU